UAGGGAAUCUUCCACAAUGGACACAAGUCUGAUGGAGCAACGCCGCGUGAGUGAAGAAGGUCUUCGGAUCGUAAAACUCUGUUGUUAGAGAAGAACAUGCAGGAGAGUAACUGUUCUUGUAUUGACGGUAUCUAACCAGAAAGCCACGGCUAACUACGUGCUAG
This 164-nucleotide ribosomal RNA is filed under the name uncultured bacterium. RNAcentral's name for it is "partial 16S rRNA". It matches the Rfam family "Bacterial small subunit ribosomal RNA", at positions 355 to 511 of the family's 1533-position model. The record is from RNAcentral.